Molecule: ribosomal RNA, 395 nt
Filed under: uncultured bacterium
Lineage: Bacteria
Description: bacterial SSU rRNA
Rfam family: Bacterial small subunit ribosomal RNA
Source: RNAcentral
GACGAACGCUGGCGGCGUGCUUAACACAUGCAAGUCGAGCGGGAUCCAACCGGUGGCAACACCGGGGAAGAUCUAGCGGCGAACGGGUGAGUAACACGUGAGCAACCUGCCCCGAAGACUGGGAUAACACCGGGAAACCGGUGCUAAUACCGGAUGUCGUCAUUAGGCCGCAUGACCUGAUGAUGAAAGGAUUCAUCGCUUCGGGAGGGGCUCGCGGGCUAUCAGCUUGNGGUGGGGUAACGGCCUACCAAGGCGACGACGGCUAGCUGGUCUGAGAGGACGACCAGCCACACUGGGACUGAGACACGGCCCAGACUCCUACGGGAGGCAGCAGUGGGGAAUCUUGCGCAAUGGGCGAAAACCUGACGCAGCGACGCCGCGUGAGGAUGACGGCU